UGUCCAGGGAUGGGAAUCGAACCCACAGUGUUCCGCUUACCGGGCAGAUGCCAAGUCCACUAGGCUUCCGGUAAGC
This 76-nucleotide transfer RNA is filed under the name Cordylochernes scorpioides. Its description in RNAcentral is "tRNA-Thr". Lineage: Eukaryota; Metazoa; Arthropoda; Arachnida; Pseudoscorpiones; Chernetidae. The record is from RNAcentral.